UUAAGUUAGAAAGGGCGCACGGUGGAUGCCUUGACACUAGGAGUCGAUGAAGGACGGGACUAACGCCGAUAUGCUUCGGGGAGCUGUAAGUAAGCUUUGAUCCGAAGAUUUCCGAAUGGGGAAACCCACCAUACGUAAUGGUAUGGUAUCCUUAUCUGAAUACAUAGGGUAAGGAAGACAGACCCAGGGAACUGAAACAUCUAAGUACCUGGAGGAAGAGAAAGCAAAUGCGAUUUCCUGAGUAGCGGCGAGCGAAACGGAACAUAGCCCAAACCAAGAGGCUUGCCUCUUGGGGUUGUAGGACAUUCUAUACGGAGUUACAAAGGAACGAGGUAGACGAAGCGACCUGGAAAGGUCCGUCGUAGAGGGUAACAACCCCGUAGUCGAAACUUCGUUCUCUCUUGAAUGUAUCCUGAGUACGGCGGAACACGUGAAAUUCCGUCGGAAUCUGGGAGGACCAUCUCCCAAGGCUAAAUACUCCCUAGUGAUCGAUAGUGAACCAGUACCGUGAGGGAAAGGUGAAAAGCACCCCGGAAGGGGAGUGAAAGAGAUCCUGAAACCGUGUGCCUACAAAUAGUCAGAGCCCGUUAACGGGUGAUGGCGUGCCUUUUGUAGAAUGAACCGGCGAGUUACGAUCCCGUGCGAGGUUAAGCUGAAGAGGCGGAGCCGCAGCGAAAGCGAGUCUGAAUAGGGCGUUUAGUACGUGGUCGUAGACCCGAAACCAGGUGAUCUACCCAUGUCCAGGGUGAAGUUCAGGUAACACUGAAUGGAGGCCCGAACCCACGCACGUUGAAAAGUGCGGGGAUGAGGUGUGGGUAGCGGAGAAAUUCCAAUCGAACCUGGAGAUAGCUGGUUCUCCCCGAAAUAGCUUUAGGGCUAGCCUUAAGUGUAAGAGUCUUGGAGGUAGAGCACUGAUUGGACUAGGGGUCCUCAUCGGAUUACCGAAUUCAGUCAAACUCCGAAUGCCAAUGACUUAUCCUUAGGAGUCAGACUGCGAGUGAUAAGAUCCGUAGUCAAAAGGGAAACAGCCCAGACCGCCAGCUAAGGUCCCAAAGUGUGUAUUAAGUGGAAAAGGAUGUGGAGUUGCUUAGACAACUAGGAUGUUGGCUUAGAAGCAGCCACCAUUUAAAGAGUGCGUAAUAGCUCACUAGUCGAGUGACUCUGCGCCGAAAAUGUACCGGGGCUAAAUACACCACCGAAGCUGCGGAUUGAUACCAAUGGUAUCAGUGGUAGGGGAGCGUUCUAAGGACAGUGAAGUCAGACCGGAAGGACUGGUGGAGUGCUUAGAAGUGAGAAUGCCGGUAUGAGUAGCGAAAGACGGGUGAGAAUCCCGUCCACCGAAUGCCUAAGGUUUCCUGAGGAAGGCUCGUCCGCUCAGGGUUAGUCAGGACCUAAGCCGAGGCCGACAGGCGUAGGCGAUGGACAACAGGUUGAUAUUCCUGUACCACCUCUUUAUCGUUUGAGCAAUGGAGGGACGCAGAAGGAUAGAAGAAGCGUGCGAUUGGUUGUGCACGUCCAAGCAGUUAGGCUGAUAAGUAGGCAAAUCCGCUUAUCGUAAAGGCUGAGCUGUGAUGGGGAAGCUCCUUAUGGAGCGAAGUCUUUGAUUCCCCGCUGCCAAGAAAAGCUUCUAGCGAGAUAAAAGGUGCCUGUACCGCAAACCGACACAGGUAGGCGAGGAGAGAAUCCUAAGGUGUGCGAGAGAACUCUGGUUAAGGAACUCGGCAAAAUGACCCCGUAAACUUCGGGAGAAGGGGUGCUUUCUUAACGGAAAGCCGCAGUGAAUAGGCCCAAGCGACUGUUUAGCAAAAACACAGCUCUCUGCGAAGCCGUAAGGCGAAGUAUAGGGGGUGACACCUGCCCGGUGCUGGAAGGUUAAGGAGAGGGGUUAGCGUAAGCGAAGCUCUGAACUGAAGCCCCAGUAAACGGCGGCCGUAACUAUAACGGUCCUAAGGUAGCGAAAUUCCUUGUCGGGUAAGUUCCGACCCGCACGAAGGGUGUAACGAUUUGGGCACUGUCUCAACCAGAGACUCGGUGAAAUUAUAGUACCUGUGAAGAUGCAGGUUACCCGCGACAGGACGGAAAGACCCCGUGGAGCUUUACUGUAGCCUGAUAUUGAAUUUUGGUACAGUUUGUACAGGAUAGGCGGGAGCCUUUGAAACCGGAGCGCUAGCUUCGGUGGAGGCGCUGGUGGGAUACCGCCCUGACUGUAUUGAAAUUCUAACCUACGGGUCUUAUCGACCCGGGAGACAGUGUCAGGUGGGCAGUUUGACUGGGGCGGUCGCCUCCUAAAGUGUAACGGAGGCGCCCAAAGGUUCCCUCAGAAUGGUUGGAAAUCAUUCGUAGAGUGCAAAGGCAUAAGGGAGCUUGACUGCGAGACCUACAAGUCGAGCAGGGACGAAAGUCGGGCUUAGUGAUCCGGUGGUUCCGCAUGGAAGGGCCAUCGCUCAACGGAUAAAAGCUACCCCGGGGAUAACAGGCUUAUCUCCCCCAAGAGUCCACAUCGACGGGGAGGUUUGGCACCUCGAUGUCGGCUCAUCGCAUCCUGGGGCUGUAGUCGGUCCCAAGGGUUGGGCUGUUCGCCCAUUAAAGCGGUACGCGAGCUGGGUUCAGAACGUCGUGAGACAGUUCGGUCCCUAUCCGUCGUGGGCGUAGGAAAUUUGAGAGGAGCUGUCCUUAGUACGAGAGGACCGGGAUGGACGCACCGCUGGUGUACCAGUUGUUCUGCCAAGGGCAUAGCUGGGUAGCUAUGUGCGGAAGGGAUAAGUGCUGAAAGCAUCUAAGCAUGAAGCCCCCCUCAAGAUGAGAUUUCCCAUAGCGUAAGCUAGUAAGAUCCCUGAAAGAUGAUCAGGUUGAUAGGUUCGAGGUGGAAGCAUGGUGACAUGUGGAGCUGACGAAUACUAAUAGAUCGAGGACUUAACCAU
This 2921-nucleotide ribosomal RNA is filed under the name Bacillus thuringiensis. RNAcentral's name for it is "bacterial LSU rRNA". It matches the Rfam family "Bacterial large subunit ribosomal RNA". The record is from RNAcentral. Lineage: Bacteria; Bacillati; Bacillota; Bacilli; Caryophanales; Bacillaceae.